UACGUAGGGUGCGAGCGUUGUCCGGAAUUAUUGGGCGUAAAGAGCUUGUAGGCGGUUUGUCGCGUCUGCCGUGAAAAUCCGGGGCUCAACCCCGGACUUGCGGUGGGUACGGGCAGAUUAGAGUGUGGUAGGGGAGACUGGAAUUCCUGGUGUAGCGGUGAAAUGCGCAGAUAUCAGGAGGAACACCGAUGGCGAAGGCAGGUCUCUGGGCCACUACUGACGCUGAGAAGCGAAAGCGUGGGGAGCGAACAGG
RNAcentral lists this ribosomal RNA (253 nucleotides) under uncultured bacterium. RNAcentral's name for it is "partial 16S ribosomal RNA". It matches the Rfam family "Bacterial small subunit ribosomal RNA", at positions 524 to 776 of the family's 1533-position model. The record is from RNAcentral.